Molecule: ribosomal RNA, 381 nt
Filed under: uncultured marine Chaetocerotaceae
Lineage: Eukaryota; Bacillariophyta; Thalassiosirophyceae; Chaetocerotales; Chaetocerotaceae
Description: SSU rRNA
Rfam family: Eukaryotic small subunit ribosomal RNA
Source: RNAcentral
AGCUCCAAUAGCGUAUAUUAAAGUUGCUGCAGUUAAAAAGCUCGUAGUUGCAUUUCCGAGGCAAGGGAUUAGUCCGACCUUUGGUGGGUAUUUAAUCCUCUUGCCUCGUCCUUGAGUGGUGCUUCUUGGUAUUAAGUUAUCGAGGAGAUAGCCGCUCAUCGUUUACUGUGAGAAAAUUAGAGUGUUCAAAGCAGGCUUAUGCCGUUGAAUAUAUUAGCAUGGAAUAAUAAGAUAGGACCUCGGUACUAUUGUGUUGGUUUGAGAACCAAGGUAAUGAUGAAUAGGGACAGUUGGGGGUAUUCGUAUUCAGUUGUCAGAGGUGAAAUUCUUAGAUUUACGGAAGACGAACUACGGCGAAAGCAUUUACCAAGGAUGUUUUCA